AAUAUUCUCUAGAAAAUUUGCAAGAGAUUAGCGAGUGUAGUUACAUAGUCCUCGCAAAUUCCUCGCAAAUUUGCGAGUAAACAUUUCUCUCGCAAAUUUGCGACAGAUUUGCAAGAACUUUGUAUGUCUAUCUUGUUUCCUCACAACUCCGUCGCAAAUUUGCAAAGAACAUGCAUGAUAUGUACAUUUUAUCACAUUUCUCUCACAAAUCAAAUAAAGUUAAUAUAAAAAAUAUUUAAUUAAAAUAUUAGUGUUUAACAAGUACAUCGAUAAAUAUUAUUGGAAACUUAAUCAAUUUCAAUCAACUAAAUAUUCACGGAAUAAAUAUUUUGCGACACUUAAACUAAUAUUACAAAGUACUAAACAUCAAACUCUAUAAUUUAUACAAUAAUUUCACGUUAACUAAAUUUCUAUAAAAAAAUUGAAACAAAUUUUAACGUUAAUUAUUUUUUCAAAAAAAAUUACAAAACACAUAUUGGUUCACCGAAAAUAUAACAAAAUCCCAAACAAAACCCUAAACGCAUUGACUCAUGAAUUUGCAAGGGAUUCCUCACAAUUCCUUUGCAAAUUUGUGAAAGAAUCUAAACGCUCGCAAAUUUGCAAGGGAAUUGCAAUGGAUCCCUCUCAAAUCUCUUGCAAAUUUGCGAGGGAUAUUAUUUCCAUUGCAAAUUUGCAAGGGAUUUGCGAGAGUCUCGUUGCAACUUCCUUGCAAAUCCAUUAUUCCAAAACUUGACGGUUUGGGUUUUAUCAAGGAUUUUGGUGACGGAUAACAAAGUUUACUGAAUCAUUUUUAGUGUUUAAAAUGUACGUCGAAAAAUAUUUUCAGAAAUUUAAUUAACUAUUGUUAUGAACUUAAGUCCCAAGACUUGAUUUGUUAUUACAAUUAAUUAACAUCAAACCAUUAUAACUUAUAUACAUCAACUAAAUUUUCGAAAAAUAUUGAACAUAUUUUCAUGUUUAUUAUUUGUUUAGAACCAAAUUAAUAAAUACAUAUAGUCUACCAGAAACAAAACUCCAAACGAAGCCCUAAAAUACACUAUUUAUAAAUUUGCAAUGGAUUUGCAAGAGAAUCCUCGCAAUUCCCUUGCAAAUUUGCGAGGGGUUUGCGACGGACAUACCUAGUAUAUAAACACAUUAACCUAAUGAUAUAGCGACAAAAGGUAAACAUAAAAGAAAAAAUCCUAUUGGCCAAUACACCUUUCACAUAGAUCACCAUUCCAGCCGUUAGAUUGAAUUUUUCUUUUCUAUUUUCUUAUUUUUUCCUUCUCUCUUCAGAUCUACGAAUGAUCUCUUAAUUAUGUUCUUCAUCUUCUACAGCUCUCUCUCUCUCUUUAAUCUUCUGUUCUUUUCUCUUCAUGUUUUAAGAUAUCAUCUCCUUCCUCUAUGUUCUCCUCUGUUCUUCAUCAUCUUCCGCUCACCACUUUCUUCAUGGUUACCACUUCUGUCGCUGUCGUGAAGGAAGAACCGCUGCUGUCUCCGUCAUUUAAGAAAAAACGCCUCUGUGCUUGAGGAAGCAUCGGCUCGUAGCAGUGGAGGCAACCGACCUUCUUCUUAAGAUUUAGUCCAUCUUCCUCGCCGUCACGUUUUGCUCUCUGUCCAAGACUCACCGGAGAUGAAGAUUCGUACCACUCUAGCUUCUCACCUCUCUAACUCGACGGUGGUGGGAUUUGAGAGAAGCGGAUUUGGAAGGUAUAUGCGACGGCUGGAAGUAGAAGCAUCGAUGGUGGCUAAAGCGUCGAAGGUGAAGCAUCGAUGGUGGCUGAAGCGUUGAGAGUACGGUGGAGAAAGAUGACUGGAGGAGGACGACGGCGGCGGCUUAGAUUUAGGCUUUUCUUGUAUUUUGUUUGUAUUUAUGUUUAUAUAUUUACAUAUUUGUUUUAAACAAAAAAAACAUAUUUGUUUUUAUUAAUUAUAUCAAAUUGUUUUUUUGUUUAACCGUUGGAAAUGACACAUUUUCCUGUAGUGUACCAGAUUCAAUAUAUAUAUUUAUUUGUAUUUUCUA
Molecule: long non-coding RNA, 2002 nt
Organism: Brassica napus (rape)
Lineage: Eukaryota; Viridiplantae; Streptophyta; Magnoliopsida; Brassicales; Brassicaceae
Exons: 2
Source: RefSeq, a predicted model, not a curated record